GUGAACGCUGGCGGUGGGCCUAACACAUGCAAGUCGCACGGCAGCACAGUAAGAGCUUGCUCUUACGGGUGGCGAGUGGCGGACGGGUGAGGAAUACAUCGGAAUCUACUUUUUCGUGGGGGAUAACGUAGGGAAACUUACGCUAAUACCGCAUACGACCUACGGGUGAAAGCAGGGGAUCUUCGGACCUUGCGCGAUUGAAUGAGCCGAUGUCGGAUUAGCUAGUUGGCGGGGUAAAGGCCCACCAAGGCGACGAUCCGUAGCUGGUCUGAGAGGAUGAUCAGCCACACUGGAACUGAGACACGGUCCAGACUCCUACGGGAGGCAGCAGUGGGGAAUAUUGGACAAUGGGCGCAAGCCUGAUCCAGCCAUACCGCGUGGGUGAAGAAGGCCUUCGGGUUGUAAAGCCCUUUUGUUGGGAAAGAAAAGCAGCAGGUUAAUACCCCGCUGUUCUGACGGUACCCAAAGAAUAAGCACCGGCUAACUUCGUG
This 491-nucleotide ribosomal RNA is filed under the name uncultured bacterium. Its description in RNAcentral is "partial 16S ribosomal RNA". It matches the Rfam family "Bacterial small subunit ribosomal RNA", at positions 29 to 507 of the family's 1533-position model. The record is from RNAcentral.